RNAcentral lists this ribosomal RNA (515 nucleotides) under uncultured Bacillota bacterium. RNAcentral's name for it is "bacterial SSU rRNA". It matches the Rfam family "Bacterial small subunit ribosomal RNA", at positions 8 to 529 of the family's 1533-position model. Lineage: Bacteria; Bacillati; Bacillota. The record is from RNAcentral.
AGAGUUUGAUCCUGGCUCAGGAUGAACGCUGGCGGCGUGCUUAAUACAUGCAAGUCGAACAAGCACUUUUGACAGAUCCCCUCGGGGUGAAGAUGAUUGUGACUUAGUGGCGGACGGGUGGUAACGCGUGGGGAACCUGCCUCGUGCUGGGGGAUAACAGUUAGAAAUGACUGCUAAUACGCAUAAGCGCACAGUAAGGCAUCUUACAGUGUGAAAAGAUUUAUCGGCAUGAGAUGGACCGCGUCUGAUUAGGUAGUUGGCGGGGUAACGGCCCACCAAGCCCGCGAUCAGUAGCCGACUGAGAGAGUGAUCGGCCACAUUGGGACUGAGACACGGCCCAGACUCCUACGGGAGGCAGCAUAGGGAAUAUUGCACAAUGGGGGAAACCCUGAUGCAGCGACGCCGCGUGAGUGAUGAAGUUUUCGGUACGUAAAACUCUAUCAGCAGGGAAGAUAAUGACGGUACCUGACUAAGAAGCCCGGCUAACUACGUGCCAGCAGCCGCGGUAAUACGUA